UAGGGAAUAUUGGUCAAUGGAUGCAAGUCUGAACCAGCCAUGCCGCGUGCAGGAAGAAGGCCUUCUGGGUCGUAAACUGCUUUUGCCAGGGGCUAAAAAGCCCAUGCGUGGGAAAUUGAAAGUACCUGGUGAAUAAGCCACGGCUAACUACGUGCCAGCAGCCGCGGUAAUACGUAGGUGGCAAGCGUUGUCCGGAUUUAUUGGGUUUAAAGGGUGCGUAGGCGGCGCCAUAAGUCAGUGCUGAAAUAUCCCGGCUUAACCGGGAGGGUGGCAUUGAUACUGUGGUGCUUGAGUGUAGUCGAGGUAGGCGGAAUUGACGGUGUAGCGGUGAAAUGCUUAGAUAUCGUCAAGAACACCGAUAGUGUAGACAGCUUACUAGGCUACAACUGACGCUGAGGCACGAAAGUGUGGGGAUCAAACAGG
This 423-nucleotide ribosomal RNA is filed under the name uncultured bacterium. RNAcentral describes it as "bacterial SSU rRNA". It matches the Rfam family "Bacterial small subunit ribosomal RNA", at positions 355 to 776 of the family's 1533-position model. The record is from RNAcentral.